This 109-nucleotide microRNA precursor is filed under the name Dasypus novemcinctus (nine-banded armadillo). RNAcentral's name for it is "microRNA 185 (ENSDNOG00000026858.2)". The stretch from base 8 to 86 matches the Rfam family "mir-185 microRNA precursor family". The record is from RNAcentral. Lineage: Eukaryota; Metazoa; Chordata; Mammalia; Cingulata; Dasypodidae.
UCGAGCGGGGGGCCGAGGGACUGGAGAGAAAGGCAGUUCCUGAUGGUGCCUCCCCAGGGGCUGGCUUUCCUCUGGUCCUUCCCUCCCAAUGACCGCAUCUUCGUCGAGG